UACGUAGGGUGCAAGCGUUGUCCGGAAUUAUUGGGCGUAAAGAGCUCGUAGGCGGUUUGUCGCGUCUGCUGUGAAAGUCCGAGGCUCAACCUCGGAUCUGCAGUGGGUACGGGCAGACUAGAGUGUGGUAGGGGAGACUGGAAUUCCUGGUGUAGCGGUGGAAUGCGCAGAUAUCAGGAGGAACACCAAUGGCGAAGGCAGGUCUCUGGGCCACAACUGACGCUGGAGGAGCGAAAAGCAUGGGGGAGCGAACAGG
Molecule: ribosomal RNA, 256 nt
Filed under: uncultured bacterium
Lineage: Bacteria
Description: partial 16S ribosomal RNA
Rfam family: Bacterial small subunit ribosomal RNA
Source: RNAcentral